CCGAGUUUACAACUCCCAAACCCCUGUGAACAUACCUAUACGUUGCCUCGGCGGAUCAGCCCGCGCCCCGUAAAAAGGGACGGCCCGCCCGAGGACCCCUAAACUCUGUUUUUAGUGGAACUUCUGAGUAAAGCAAACAAAUAAAUCA
This 148-nucleotide unclassified non-coding RNA is filed under the name soil metagenome. RNAcentral's name for it is "partial internal transcribed spacer 1". The record is from RNAcentral.